CCUACGGGGUGCAGCAGUGGGGAAUAUUGGACAAUGGGCGAAAGCCUGAUCCAGCCAUGCCGCGUGUGUGAAGAAGGCCUUCGGGUUGUAAAGCACUUUCAGUGGGGAAGAAAGCCUUGGGGCUAAUACCCUCGAGGAAGGACAUCACCCACAGAAGAAGCACCGGCUAACUCCGUGCCAGCAGCCGCGGUAAUACGGAGGGUGCGGGCGUUAAUCGGAAUUACUGGGCGUAAAGCGCGCGUAGGCGGUCUGAUAAGCCGGUUGUGAAAGCCCCGGGCUCAACCUGGGAACGGCAUCCGGAACUGUCAGGCUAGAGUGCAGGAGAGGAAGGUAGAAUUCCCGGUGUAGCAGUGAAAUGCGUAGAGAUCGGGAGGAAUACCAGUGGCGAAGGCGGCCUUCUGGACUGACACUGACGCUGAGGUGCGAAAGCGUGGGUAGCAAACAGGAUUAGAUACCCGGGUAGUC
Molecule: ribosomal RNA, 465 nt
Filed under: Vreelandella stevensii
Lineage: Bacteria; Pseudomonadati; Pseudomonadota; Gammaproteobacteria; Oceanospirillales; Halomonadaceae
Description: partial 16S ribosomal RNA
Rfam family: Bacterial small subunit ribosomal RNA
Source: RNAcentral